RNAcentral lists this long non-coding RNA (444 nucleotides) under Carica papaya (papaya). RNAcentral describes it as "long non-coding RNA (CPAP_LNC014671)". The record is from RNAcentral. Lineage: Eukaryota; Viridiplantae; Streptophyta; Magnoliopsida; Brassicales; Caricaceae.
GAUAAGUUGAUAAGAAUGGGUAAGAUUAUAGUCAAUGACUGUUAUCUGUGAAAAAAAGCUGCUGAAUCUUGUAAUCACAUUCUUCUUUGGUGCCCAAGGGUUUAUAAUCUUGUAUAACAUUUGCACAAUGGUUUAUAAUCUGUUAAGGAUUAAUUUGAUUACUGUGGAGUUGAUGAGAGAUGAAUUAUGGGCUUGGAAGAGGAUAUGUACAAAGAAAAAAUUUGUAAAUCUUGUUUCUUUAAUUAUUUUUUGGGUGGUUUGAAAAUAGAUGAAUAGUAAAGCUUUUGAGGGGUGUGAGGGGGAGAUGUUUUUUAUUCUUUGAUUUUGAGUACAUUUAUAGGUUGGAGGAUUUUGUGAAUGUCAUUGAUAUACUAAUUGAGCUGUAAAUAUCUCGUAAAUAGGUGUGCCCCUUGGUGUCGUAGACUUAAUAUACUGCAUUUUUUU